CAAGACAGGGGCUGUCUCUUCCCUGUCUUCAUUCUCUCACAUUCCUCCAAAUUCAAAUUUUAUAGCAGUCUUUUCAGCUCACCUGUCAAAUUCCUGUUAUUUUUAUCGUUCAUGUUUUUAUAGAUAAGGUGUGUAAUCCACCUCUGUUGCUUGAAAAUAAGAUGCUACUCAUGUCUGGGUCAGCCUUCACAAGGCACCAGUGCCACGGCCUUUUCAGGGCAGGUCAGCUUGCAGUGGGCACACAAGGCAUCGUCACCAUUCCUGUCUUUGAUCUCAGGUGUGAAUGAGAAAAUCAGUGCAAUGCCUUGCAAGACAAAGAAGAGCUCUGUGGAAGCACAUGAAGUAAAUGGACUUCAUAAAAGUACAGGAAGUAAAUGAAGUACUUUAUCAAUUGCUGGUUUUUUGGCUUCAUGGGUAACCUAA
Long non-coding RNA from Zonotrichia leucophrys gambelii, 423 nucleotides. RefSeq lists it as uncharacterized. The record is from RefSeq and is a predicted model, not a curated record. Lineage: Eukaryota; Metazoa; Chordata; Aves; Passeriformes; Passerellidae. The transcript is spliced from 3 exons.